RNAcentral lists this unclassified non-coding RNA (798 nucleotides) under Hevea brasiliensis (rubber tree). Lineage: Eukaryota; Viridiplantae; Streptophyta; Magnoliopsida; Malpighiales; Euphorbiaceae. The record is from RNAcentral.
GAGUUAUUUAUUUUUGUUUUUGGUGCUUUUUGCUUAAUUGUUUGAAAAAAAUUACGUUUAAAUCUAGGUUUUUUUAAUUAAUUUAUAGUAUGAAGCAUCUAUUCAUUGAACUUUGCAAAUUUUUCAAAAACAUUUGUGUAGCAAUAGGCUCCAUUACAGGCUUGUUUUCAUUACGCGAUUUAAAUCCAUGGUUCAAUGUGAGCACUGAAAUGUCUUCUAUGCAGUAUGCACACAAUAUUUUGGUGUCUCUGUGUUUAAUACUUUUAUUUUUGAACUGAUCUGUGCUUAAUACUUUGUUCUACUUAAGUUUAAAAACAAAAGAACAAAAAGAUGUAGGUUACUCUAUCCAAAAGCCUGCUAUUAUGAUAUGCUAUUGAUUGAUAGGAAUUGAAAAAAUCUCUAGACAAAAUCACCAGAACUCUAGCAUCUAUAUUUGCACCUUGGCAGGUUUCUUUCUUAAGACAAGUCAUAAAAAAGGAAGCUUUAAAAGUCAUUUUGUAUCUCGAAUGUCACAAAAAUACAAAGGUUCAGUCAUUUAAAUUACUAAGAGUUUUACAUGCAGCAUCCAAGCAAGUGAACAGGGUAUUUUUUUGAGAGACAUGAUACAGUAGAGUUUCCCCCAAAAAAUACAGGAGGCUUCACUUUCAGUUUUAUAGAGUAUGCUAAACUUGAGAUAUUCAUUUUUUGAUAAUUAAUUAAAUUAGUUAUUUUUCAAAAAAAAAUUAAAUUUGUUAUUAUGGUUUUAAAAAAAGGCAAAAAUAUACUAGAAAGCCUUUUUCUAAUAAAAAAUUGCACAAG